CCUACGGGAGGCAGCAGUGGGGAAUAUUGCACAAUGGGGGAAACCCUGAUGCAGCGACGCCGCGUGAAGGAAGAAGUAUUUCGGUAUGUAAACUUCUAUCAGCAGGGAAGAAAAUGACGGUACCUGACUAAGAAGCACCGGCUAACUACGUGACACCAGCCGCGGUAAUACGUAGGGGGCAAGCGUUAUCCGGAUUUACUGGGUGUAAAGGGAGCGUAGGCGGCGAUGCAAGUCAGAAGUGAGAGCCCGGGGCUCAAACCCGGGACUGCUUUUGAAACUGUGUUGCUAGAUUGCAGGAGAGGUAAGUGGAAUGCCUGGUGUAGCGGUGAAAUGCGUAGAUAUUAGGAGGAACACCAGUGGCGAAGGCGGCUUACUGGACUGUAAAUGACGCUGAGGCUCGAAAGCGUGGGGAGCAAACAGGAUUAGAUACCCGUGUAGUC
This 440-nucleotide ribosomal RNA is filed under the name uncultured bacterium. Its description in RNAcentral is "partial 16S ribosomal RNA". It matches the Rfam family "Bacterial small subunit ribosomal RNA", at positions 338 to 795 of the family's 1533-position model. The record is from RNAcentral.